Molecule: unclassified non-coding RNA, 4870 nt
Filed under: Lytechinus variegatus (green sea urchin)
Lineage: Eukaryota; Metazoa; Echinodermata; Echinoidea; Temnopleuroida; Toxopneustidae
Description: bAI1-associated protein 3-like, transcript variant X1
Source: RNAcentral
UUUCUGUUAUUGUUUCUUUUCUUUAGAUGGAGUUUAAGGAGUUUUACUCUGCUGUCUUACAAACACUCCUUCAUCCUCUUGGUAAGGUGGAUGGUAUGAAGUUUAACCCAUUGGAACUCGUUGGACAUCUCCAAAGAAUAUUCCAUGUUCCUAAUGCAUCCCACAGUACACUUGUAAAGGAAGAAGUCAACAAACGACCGGAUCGUUUUUUUCUUAGAGUGACUGUAGUGGAGGCUAAGGACAUCAAAGGAAUGGAUCCAAAUGGUAUGAGUGAUCCAUACUGUAUCCUAACUCACUGCAAUAAGGCAUCCAGUAGCAGCCCUUCCCAACAGCGCUCCUCUCCGCAACACUCUCACAACAAGAACCAGGCACGUAGCGAUAGUCUCGACCAGCUCACCAACCACAAGACGCAUUCCCUGCAACAUGCCAACACUCUCCCACAAAGCUCAGGGAACAGUAGCAGUAGAUUCCUAUCUCCUCAGACUUCUGUACCUGAGACCAGCCAUCAUCUUAGUCUCUCCAGGAACAUCCAGAGGAAUAGGAGCUUCAACCGCAAGGACAGACGAAGGAAGUCACUGGAACACCUGGGUGUUGAUGCCAAACAACAGAGUAUCCAGCAAGAUCUACAUGUUCACUCAUUAGCCGUACCUGAUGAAAGGAGACGUAAGGGGUCUGAUUCAUUCCCCGUUUCUCCCAACUUAACCCAUAAUAAUUCCCUGGAAGCUAACUCCCUCUACAGGACGUCAUGUAAGUCGGCAACCUUGCAUCCCGUCUGGAAUGAAACCUUUGACAUUGAGUUGGAUAGAUUAGAUGGUGAGUUGAUCAUAACCAUGUGGGACCUGGAUGAAGAGACAAGUCUUUGGGAUGCAUGCAAGAGUCUAGAAGCAGAACACAAGCUUGCUGGUAUCAAAAACAUCUUUCGUCACAUGAAGCACGGGAUCAACAAAUGCACAGAUGAUUUCCUUGGUCAAGUCACGAUACCCCUGGAUAAGAUAGAGGCUGCUACCAUCACGGAGGAUUGGUAUCGACUCCAGAGAGGUCAUGCUAAGGUCAUGAGUUCACAGGUCACUGGUAAACUCCAUCUCAAGAUGCACUACCUUAGGAUAAAGUCUGAGAACCAUCCAGAGAGAGAUGAGAGAGCGCUUUCAUACUACCACCAGCUUGUAACUGCUGCUCAGAAACAUGAUGCAGGAAAACAUAUUAAGUCAAGACAGGAUAAGGAAAAAACUCCAUGGGAUGGAAGGUUAAGUAGACUGAGCCACCAUGUUCUCAAUCAGUUUGCAGUCCAGAAUGGAAUCAGCAAAUUAUCACAAAACAUCAUGUAUUUGUCAGCUUUACUUGACUUUCAGUUAGAAUUCACUCGCAAAUUGAAAGAAAUAGAGAUGGCACCUCCAGAACUCAUAAUGGAGCCAGUACCUGAGGAAAGUGCCUUUGAUGAGACAGACUCUUCCCCUCCACUCUCUUCUUUGACUCCCAAUAACAACAAUCAAGGCAAUAAGGGUUCUCCAACUGGUAACCUGUCAGAAAAGACGGAUCCACCCAAGGAUGAAAAAACUGUACGGAGAUCGCCCAAUAGGUCAAGCUUGCGAAGGCAAGGUUCAGAGUUUGACUACGGUGAGAAGUUUGUACCUCAGCAGAUGGUGAAUGGUAAACUUGGAGGAUUGGUGAUCAAUGAUCGUUUCGUGAGGGAAGCACUAUAUAAGAUCCAUGCAGAGAUGAUGGCUGAGUCAGCUGUGACUAUCUAUGGCAGUGACCCCAAAGGGUUGGCUACACUAUUUGAGAACAGACCUGAAUGGCUUCGCUUUGAAACUGCCAUUGUUGAAAACUCCAUCAGUAGUUAUAUCUAUGAGUGCUUGGCUAACCUUCCAGAUUGUGAACCAUUCUUCCCUCCGACCAACCUCAUAGGACUGGACAAUGCCAACAAGAACUGCAAAUUACAAUUGCUGCAGAAUCUGCUUUCGAUGUCUAUUUGGCGUGACCAUGACACCCCCGUCCAUCGACUAGUGAUGAAACUGUUAGAGUCAGUUGUACGUAAUGACACAAGGAAGCACAUCCUUACUGACCUUGAUGCCAUUCCUCUCUCACAAGGAUCAUUGAAACCUGGAGAACUUGUUGAUCUGCUUGCAAGAUUUGCUGAACUCCUGUCCCGAUUCACCAUCUACUGUAAGAACCAGAAGGAUUAUAAAAACUUCUUUUCGAGAUUCCAUGUAGAUUUCUUUUCAACAGUCACCAUAGAGAUUGAUCGGCAGGUAACGAAAUAUCUUCAGGAUAUUAUCCUCUUGCGUCUGAACCAAUACCAUGCCCGCUACCGACGGUUUCCUCAGAACAUUGCUGAAGCUAGCAAGGCUGGUCUAGCGCUCUAUAUGGCAGUCAAGAAUCUGGUUUCUGUCCUCAAGAAGAAUGUCGCUGGAAAUGAGAGGCUGCAGUUAGAACAAUAUAGCAUCUGGUUCCAGGUGCCUCUCACCUACUGGUUGGUUACCUUUCAACAUGAGACAUUCAGUCGUGUCCACAAGGCUUUAGAACUUGACAAGGAUGUCAAGUUGGUCCAUGAAGUCGUCAAGUAUUCCAACUCGGCGGUUGAUGUCCAGGCUUGCUUCGCAAAGGUUACUCAAGAAUGGCAGAGCAUAGGAUAUGAAUGUCCUAACAGCCGCUGUAUGGCCAUUACAAAGCUAACUGAUCUGAUAUGUGAAGGAGCUAAACUGUAUGCAUGUAAGAUCCACUGCAUCCUGGAAGCCAAUGGGUUCUAUAAGACAAGUAAAGAUGGUCAAUUUGAUAUCAAGGAUAAGCUAUGCAUCACACUCAACAACAUUGAGCAUGUCCGUGGCUACCUGGACAACCUCCCCACUCUCCUAGAAUGGGAAGCUAACUGCAACCAGCUGGCUGCCCACCACCAGACGGCUGAAGCUGGUAAACUAACCCUCAGUACACUGAGACGCUUGACCCAGAGGGCGUGCCAUGACAUCCAUUACAUGUCUAGUCUCCUUGAGAAGAAGAUUGCUUAUCGUCUUAGUCAGGAGGUCAACAAACAUCUUGACAAAUUUGUCAACCCACAGAAGGGUCAGACCAGCGAAGAGUGUAUGGAGGAGCUUCUAGACUACAUAGAUGAGAACCUAGGUACUCUUUAUAAGCAGCUCCUCCCACAGAUCUUCCCUCGCUUAGUCCAGGAGCUCUGGAAUGCUCUCCUGACCAGCAUAAGGUCCAGGAUCCAAGAUGGUAGACCACCAGGCUAUUACAAGAGGCUACAACAGAGUCUGGACUCCUUGGAGGCCUACUUUCAGAGGCCAGGCAUCGAAUUGACAAGUUCCAAGACCCGGACUGAUGAGUAUCACGCCAUCAUGGAGAAGUUGGAACCUAAUACCAGGUCUACAUUCAGUCUGUUGGCCCUGUACUAUCGGGACCUGGCCCUAGAUAUGGCCACGCCCAUGGCCUACCUGGGCCAUGUCAGUAUCAAGAUGGCUUAUCAUGAGGUACCAGGUGACAUGAGGUCACUAUCGGUCAAAGUGUGUAAUGCAGUGGAUCUACCAGGAGUGAAAAGGAAUGGAUUCAGUGACCCCAAGAUUAUUGUGGAGAUUGCCCCAGAAACAACCUUCAACAAAGUCUUAUCCUUCAAGACAAUGGUCAAAUAUAAGGAACUAAACCCAGUUUACAAUCAAGUCUUUCAAUUUGGUGCGUUGCCUGAAGAGGCUUUUGAGUUGGAUACUGUGAUUCUAUCAGUGACAGUCGUUGAUCACAACACUGUGGUCUGUGAUAGCUUCAUCGGUGAGGCCUUCAUUCCACUUCAUCAGGCAAGGCAGGUGACAGAGAAACAGACAGUGGACCACUGCCCUGCUAUCAUGCUAGCCCUCAAGCGACCCAGGAGACUUAGGGGUCAUGUAGAGAUCCUGAAGAGCAGGAGUAAGUGGGACAAGAGUGCCAAGCAGUUCAUCACCAAGCGAACCUGGGCCAUCAAGCAACAGAGACAAAGAACAGACAAGAAGAUUGUGAAAAGGCAUAGUCACAAUGCCUUCUUCCCAGAGUGAUGUCUUCUAGAUCCUGUAAGGUCAUCAGUGUGACCCCAGCAACUAGUGUCCUAGAAGCAUCCAUGUGUCAAUGAGGAUCUGCUCCUGUUAGCUACUCGUCUGUAAGUCUUCUAGAUCCUGUAGGGCCAUCAGUUUGUUUUUAGUGGCCAGUGUCCUAGAAACAUCCAUUUCCUAUGGAGGACCUGCUCAUCUGAAAGUCUUUUAGAUCCUGUAGGGUCAUCAGCUUGAUUCCAGCAACCCCUGUGUCCUAGAAACAUCCAUUUCCUAUGGAGGACCUGCUCUGUUACCUGCUCAUCUGAAAGUUUUCUAGAUCCUGUAGGGUUAUCAGAUUGAUUCCAGCAAACACAGUGUCCUAGAAACAUCCAUUUCAUAUGGAGGACCUGCUUUGUUACCUGCUCAUCUGAAAGUCUUAGAUCCUGUAGGGUCAUCACUUUGAUCUUAACAACCAGUGUCCUAGAAGCAUCCAUGUAUCUUGGAGGAUCUGCACUGUUUCCUGGUCAUCUAGAAGGUCUACUAGAUCUUACAAGUUACCAGGUUUUUCUGGUCAAUUACGAUGUUCUCAAAGCAUCCAGAUAUCAACGAUAUUGUGUUCCAUUUUUUGCCAACUAGAGCCAAGACCCCGCUCAAGGAUCACAAUACUACAAAUGAUUUUCCAUUAGAAAAUAUUAAGAUCUUUUGACUUAUCAUUGACUUUCUGUUCCAGAUACAAAAUAUAUUUCCUAGCCUCAUUGUGCUUCUUUCAAGGAACUUCUCCCGAGGCCAACAUCAAGGGCUUGAGGCCAAGGCAAACAACUACACUAGAUAGAUAUCCUUGGACAAGGCCAAGGCCAUAUAAUUGUAAUUUAGGCCAG